CCUAGGGGAGGCAGCAGUGGGGAAUAUUGCACAAUGGGCGCAAGCCUGAUGCAGCAACGCCGCGUGAGGGAAGACGGUUUUCGGAUUGUAAACCUCUGUCUUUGGUGACGAAGAAGUGACGGUAGCCAAGGAGGAAGCCACGGCUAACUACGUGCCAGCAGCCGCGGUAAUACGUAGGUGGCAAGCGUUAUCCGGAAUUACUGGGUGUAAAGGGAGCGCAGGCGGGAUAGCAAGUCAGCGGUGAAAUGCAUGGGCUUAACUCAUGAGCUGCCGUUGAAACUGUUAUUCUUGAGUGGAGUAGAGGCAGGCGGAAUUCCGAGUGUAGCGGUGAAAUGCGUAGAUAUUCGGAGGAACACCAGUGGCGAAGGCGGCCUGCUGGGCUCUAACUGACGCUGAGGCUCGAAAGUGUGGGGAGCAAACA
Molecule: ribosomal RNA, 421 nt
Filed under: uncultured prokaryote
Description: bacterial SSU rRNA
Rfam family: Bacterial small subunit ribosomal RNA
Source: RNAcentral